RNAcentral lists this ribosomal RNA (490 nucleotides) under uncultured bacterium. RNAcentral's name for it is "partial 16S ribosomal RNA". It matches the Rfam family "Bacterial small subunit ribosomal RNA", at positions 28 to 507 of the family's 1533-position model. The record is from RNAcentral.
GAUGAACGCUCGCGAUAGGCUUAACACAUGCAAGUCGAGGGGCAGCAUGGUCUUAGCUUGCUAAGACUGACGGCGACCGGCGCACGGGUGCGUAACGCGUAUGCAACUUGCCUCACAGAGGGGGAUAACCCGUCGAAAGACGGACUAAUACCGCGUACACUUGGGAUAGGGCAUCCUGACCCAAGGAAAUGAAAUUCGCUGUGAGAUAGGCAUGCGUCCCAUUAGCUAGUUGGUGAGGUAACGGCUCACCAAGGCGACGAUGGGUAGGGGAACUGAGAGGUUGAACCCCCACACUGGUACUGAGACACGGACCAGACUCCUACGGGAGGCAGCAGUGAGGAAUAUUGGUCAAUGGGCGAGAGCCUGAACCAGCCAAGUCGCGUGAAGGAUGACUGUCUUAUGGAUUGUAAACUUCUUUUAUACGGGAAUAACAAGAGCCACGUGUGGCUCCCUGCAUGUACCGUAUGAAUAAGCAUCGGCUAACUCCGUG